CCCUUAGAUGUUCUGGGCCGCACACGAGCUACACUGAAGGAGGCAGCGUGUACUCCUGGAUCGAAAGAUUUGGGUAACCCGCGAAUCUCCUUCGUGCUAGGGAUUGAGGUUUGCAAUUAUCCUUCAUGAACGAGGAAUUCCCAGUAAGUGCAAGUCAUAAGCUUGCGCUGACUACGUCCCUGCCCUUUGUACACACCGCCCGUCGCUACUACCGAUUGAAUGAUUUAGUGAGGACUUCGGACUGGGACCGAUGCGGCUUUCGGGCUGCGUCGGUAUUCUGGAAAGAUGUCCAAACUGUAUCAUUUAGAGGAAGUAAAAGUCGUAACA
Molecule: ribosomal RNA, 327 nt
Filed under: uncultured eukaryote
Lineage: Eukaryota
Description: partial 18S ribosomal RNA
Rfam family: Eukaryotic small subunit ribosomal RNA
Source: RNAcentral